AUUGAACGCUGGCGGAAUGCUUUACACAUGCAAGUCGAACGGUAGAGGGGGCAACCCCUCGAGAGUGGCGAACGGGUGAGUAAUAUAUCGGAAUGUGCCCAGUCGUGGGGGAUAACGUAGCGAAAGUUACGCUAAUACCGCAUACGAUCUAAGGAUGAAAGCGGGGGAUCGCAAGACCUCGCGCGAUUGGAGCGGCCGAUAUCGGAUUAGGUAGUUGGUGGGGUAAAGGCUCACCAAGCCAACGAUCUGUAGCUGGUCUGAGAGGACGACCAGCCACACUGGAACUGAGACACGGUCCAGACUCCUACGGGAGGCAGCAGUGGGGAAUUUUGGACAAUGGACGCAAGUCUGAUCCAGCCAUUCCGCGUGCAGGAUGAAGGCCCACGGGUUGUAAACCUCUGUCACUGGGGAAGAAACGCUUCAAGUUAACAGCUUGAAGCCUGACUUAACCCGGAGAGGAAGCAGUGGCUAACUCUGUGCCAGCCGCCGCAGUAA
Molecule: ribosomal RNA, 495 nt
Filed under: uncultured bacterium
Lineage: Bacteria
Description: partial 16S ribosomal RNA
Rfam family: Bacterial small subunit ribosomal RNA
Source: RNAcentral